This 458-nucleotide long non-coding RNA is filed under the name Ananas comosus (pineapple). RNAcentral's name for it is "long non-coding RNA (ACOM_LNC008399)". The record is from RNAcentral. Lineage: Eukaryota; Viridiplantae; Streptophyta; Magnoliopsida; Poales; Bromeliaceae.
UUGAAAAUAUUUCUAAAAUUUUUAGGGGGACAAAUGGAGAUAUUUGAAAGUUAAGGAGAAAAGUAAAAAAUUAAAUAUUUAUAUGGAGGUUUUGUAUAUUUUAGCUUUGAAAUAUUGUCAAAUUUAAAUAACUUAUUAAUUAUACUAUAGUUAUAAGAUUUUUUUGGGCUAAAACCAUAAAAGGAUAAAAAUAUAUACAAAUUAUCUCAGCUAUAGACAAUUUUGAAUCGAAUACUCAGCCUUUCAAAAUUUUAUUUUUUACUAUACAAACUUUCAAUUUAUUUGAUUUGAAUUAAUCAAUGAUGUUUUGACUCAAAUUUAAAUUUGUUGUUUAUCUUUACAAUUUAAUUAGUAUACUUCAUACAAUUCUCGCAAUUAUAAAUUUAUUAAAAUAAAUAAUUAGCUUAAAUUUUUAAGUUAAAGUUAUAUUUAAUAACGCAAAUCAACAAAUUGAAAAA